CAGCCGCCGCGGGAAUACGUAGGGUGCAAGCGUUAAUCGGAAUUACUGGGCGUAAAGCGUGCGCAGGCGGUUAUAUAAGACAGUCGUGAAAUCCCCGGGCUCAACCUGGGAACUGCGAUUGUGACUGUAUGGCUAGAGUGUGUCAGAGGGGGGUAGAAUUCCACGUGUAGCAGUGAAAUGCGUAGAUAUGUGGAGGAAUACCGAUGGCGAAGGCAGCCCCCUGGGAUAACACUGACGCUCAUGCACGAAAGCGUGGGGAGCAAACAGGAUUAGAUACCCCGGUAGUCCCUGUCUCUUAUAC
Molecule: ribosomal RNA, 301 nt
Filed under: uncultured bacterium
Lineage: Bacteria
Description: partial 16S ribosomal RNA
Rfam family: Bacterial small subunit ribosomal RNA
Source: RNAcentral